UAUCCCUUUUCCUGAGUCUCUUUGAGGCUGGAGAUUUCAUCAUUCAUUCAUUUAACUAGCAUUUAUUAAGAACCGAUAGCAUGCAUACUAUUAGGAGAGUAAUGUGUUCAUCAUGGGAUCAUAGAUUUUAGAAAGGACACCAGAGACCAUGAACCUAUUUUAUAGAUAGAGAAACUGAGGAAUAGAGAAAUUAAGCAAUCUGCCCAGGAUCACAGUCAGAUGUGAGUGAGGAUUUGAAAUCAGAUCUGCUUGAUUCCAAGUCUGGCACACUAAAUAUCAUUUAACUAUCUCUGUUGAUCUUCCUUUUCCUAUCCUUUGGAUUUUCUGAAUAUUUAAUUUUGAGACUUUUAUGAGACCUGAUUUAUUGAAACUGACUCAUUCUCUAAGCCUCUAGGGGCAAGCAUUGAACAGGUGAUUAGAGAUUCGACUCUCAUUGUUAACACCCUAGUUCUUCACAGAUGCCAGCACCACCAGUGGCUUGCCCCUCCCAGGGCCCUUGUGACAGAGAUUUACAUGAAGGUCAUUUUUCAAUUAGGUAACAUACAGAAGGCAUCUGUCUUGGGCAUUUGCUCUUUUUUUCCCCAGGAUCAGAGGGGGCUCCCCAAACAAGCCCCUCCAGAAAAUCAAAUAUUCUUGCUACUCCUGUUGGUGCCCAUCCUAAGAAAAUUCCCUUUUCUGGCAACAGAAGAUAGUUAAACUCAAGCCAAACCCACGGUGAUGGGCUGAAGUUGUCAGCUGCCAGUUAGGAGGCAGCUGGGCCAUAAUAAUUCAAGAAUGCUGGAUUCAGAGUCAUGUGACCCUAGGAUCGUAUCAAGACUCAGCAACCCACUUUUGUCCUCAGUUUCCUUACGUGUAAAGUUACUGCCCAUUUUAGAGAUGAGGAAAUUGAGGCAGAUACGAUUAAAUGAUUGCCCAGGGCUACACAGCUGUUCUAGGUAUCACAUUAUAGAAAGGUUACUGACAAAUGGAAGUAUAUCCAGAAAAAAAACAAUGAGGAUGAUGAGGGGACUUGAAAACCUUCAACCUGGGGAACCACUGAAGGAAUGGGGGCUGUUUAGCCCAAAAAGAAAAAGACUUAAGGCUCAUAACUGCUUUCAAAUAUUUAAAGACUGUUCCAGGGUGAGGAAGUUAAAGUGGGCAGAGAAGGAUUUUUUCAGAGGGUGUCCCAAAAAUAUUAGUGCAAUCUUAAACUUAUUAAGCCCGGGCAGCUGAGUGGCUCAGUGGAUAGAGCACUACUUGGUAUCCAUUGAAAUCUAGCCGUGUGACCUUGAAAAAAGUCAUUUAGCCUCUGCCUGUUCCUCAGCUGUAAAAUGGAGAUAAUAACAAUUGUCGCUUUUCAGAUAACAAUAGAUGAAAGGCUAAAAUAAAAUAUUUGUGAGCCUUUAUAAAAUACUUGCUAUUAUUUUGCUUGAUCCCAGAGUCAAGGACUGAUGUUAACAAUGUUGUAGAUAGAGAAGCUAAGGAAGAAACAUCAGAGAGAAAUGCCACCUUGGAAGCUGGUAGAAGCAGGGAGCAGGAGAGGGGUGGUAGAGUUUAUGAUGAUGGAGAAGAAAUAAGGGUGUGGGAGGGAGUUUUCAACAUGGCAGUUUUCAUUCAAGUGAAAAUUACUGGCCAUGGGAACCAGAGAAGUCAAGGCUGGAGAUUUUGGAAAAUGUUCUAAGUGGACUCCUGGUUGGAGGACUAUGGUUACCCUCUGAGAAAUUCAUCACUUUUUGGAGGACUUGCUCUGAAACUCAACAAGUCUGUCCCACAACAGUUUCUCACCUGCCAAUCCCUAAUAAAAUUUUAUUAUCCAAAUUUCUUCUCAAAAACCUGUAAAACUUAAAUAUGUGGUAUGUAUAUAUACCUAUAUAC
Long non-coding RNA from Antechinus flavipes (yellow-footed antechinus), 1854 nucleotides. RefSeq lists it as uncharacterized. The record is from RefSeq and is a predicted model, not a curated record. NCBI's taxonomy places the organism in Eukaryota, Metazoa, Chordata, Mammalia, Dasyuromorphia, Dasyuridae. The transcript has 4 exons.